GCUUUCGUGGUGUAGUGUUGAGCACGCUCGACGUGUAUUCGAGAGGUCCGAGGUUCGAAUCCCGGCGACGACA
Molecule: transfer RNA, 73 nt
Filed under: Stegodyphus mimosarum
Lineage: Eukaryota; Metazoa; Arthropoda; Arachnida; Araneae; Eresidae
Rfam family: tRNA
About the family: Transfer RNA (tRNA) molecules are approximately 80 nucleotides in length. Their secondary structure includes four short double-helical elements and three loops (D, anti-codon, and T loops).
Source: Rfam by way of RNAcentral